RNAcentral lists this long non-coding RNA (4295 nucleotides) under Zalophus californianus (California sea lion). Its description in RNAcentral is "lncRNA (ENSZCAG00015016184.1)". Lineage: Eukaryota; Metazoa; Chordata; Mammalia; Carnivora; Otariidae. The record is from RNAcentral.
AGAUUGUUCAUCUAUGGGGGAGGGUCAGAUUCCCUGGAGUCAGAAAAAAAAGAUCUUCAGGCCUCUCUCCAAGAUGAAAAUGUAGGCACACACGGCAUUUGGCACUCGAUUUGGAAAGAUGCCCAGCCCUGAGGCUCAUCUGGGCAAGAGCACAAGCAGGUGGAGCUGGGUGGAGGGGGGGGUGGAGGUUGCUGGGAGACCCUGGGCUCAGGCAGCUCUGCCUGUGGGCCCCGGGGAAAGAGGCAAGGCCAGGCCAGGGAUCCCGGGCCUCCUCCUUCCCCAGGAAUCCAGCUCCUCUCUCCAGCUCAUCUAUGCAAGCACCCAGAUGAAGGCACCUUCUGCACGAAUGGCAGCUUUGUCUCCAAGAUUCCGUCAGUGUGGGUGGUGGUGUCGGGAAGAGCUGUGAGCAAGCCAAGGCGGCUGUGAUGACAGAUGAGGCUGUGAGCACACGUGGGACGUUUUAAAAUACUCUCAGAGACGCCUCCAUGGUGGCGCCCAACUAGAAACCGGAGGGCAAGGACCUUGCUGAGGCAGCACAGAGUGGGCAGCCCUCAGGACGGAAGGCCAGGAGGGCACCCAAGGAAGACUAGACGCUGGCUGCCACGCUGGGAUGUGGACCAGCAAGGCCAAUGAUGCUGUUUUUCAAUGGAACUUGGAAAUCUGGAUUUUUACACACCAUCUUUGCAUUUGUGAAUGCUGGCAACUCACUGAAGAUAUUUUUCAAGCACUGUCUGGGCCCAGGCAACACGUGUCUGGGAGCUGCUGGUUUGACGUCUCCGAGCCAACAUCAGGAGGGGAAUCCAGAGCACUUGCCGGUAGAAGGGCAGCCCCUUCAAAGGGCCAGGCACUGAACCUCCCAGCAGCCAGACUCACUUCUUUGGGUCCACAAUGCCCCCUCCUCCCAGUGACACACUUGGCACCUUGGGGCGUACAAAGAUGGCUAAGAUCCAGUUCCCCCCUAAAGACUCUCACAGCCGAGGGAGGGCAGUGGUAAGAAACUCGCCAUCCAGAACACGCUCAGGAGAGCUGGGACGGGCGUGAAAACCACAGAGGACAUGGGAGCAGAGUGGAGGCUCCAACAACCCGCCUGGGGCUGAAGCAAGGCUUCGAGAUGGAAGUCACAGCCAGGGGAGUGUGAGAACCAGGCCCGGGGGGGGAAAGAACAGAAUCUGUGUGAAACAAAUGCAAGAAGUGUGGGCAAUCGGGUGUAUCAAGUACAGGGGCGACAUGGCCCAAGGAGAGGAUGGUGGGGGGUCACAGAAGCCACACGGAGACACGCAGACCUGAUUCUGAUUCAGGAGCAAAGAUGAGCCACUGAGGGGUUUUAAGUAGAAAAACGGGACAAUGAAUUCUGCAUUUUGGCAGGGAUAAAGUCAGACCUCCUCAUGGACGUGAUACUGUCCCUCCCAAAGUGGCCCUGACACUGACCCUGUGCCCCCUCUGCUCCCUCCACCAGGAUGCCCCUUCCUCCCAUGGCCGCUCCCCACCCACUCCUGCCAGCUGGAAGGCAGCGGACACUUCGUGGUUGGAUGGUGAAUGAACACACGAAGGAAGGAAUGAAGACCCACCUUUCUGUACCGAGCAGGAGGCACCCACCCCCCCCCAGGAGUCCCAGAGCACCAGUUCCCCUCCCUUAGGGCCCUGAUAGCACUGGCCUUGUCUCCUUUUCAGGACCAUAAAUUGUCCAAACAAACACCAGGCCUGGCACAGCUGGAUGGCCCCCAGCCCAGAGGGAAUGGACUUUUAUUAAAUUUCUUCUCCGCGCCAGGGACUUUAUGUGCCUUGAAUCAUCUCACAACAGAGUGGGGUAUGAGUCAUCAUCACAACACCUUGGAGGAAGAAGUAGGUGUCUGUGCACAAAGUGACUCACCCACGGCUGAGAAGACCAGGACGCGGAAGUCUGAGCCGCCAAAGAACAGGUGCACCUUCUACUGGCCCAGGUUACCUUGCAAGGCAGCUUUGCCACUUGCUUUCUGACAGCAUGAAAAAGAUGCCUUAAUGAGAGUAUUAAACAAAACAGUGUGGAGCGCCAGCAACUGGGUGCCCAGGAGCGCUUUCAGGAGAGGUCACUGGGGUUGAGUGGUGAUGGGUGAGGGAGGAUCACCAGGGGAAGAAAGGAGUGCCUUUGCGGAAGGCAAGGAAGAUUUGGAUGGGGCUUUGAGUGGCACGAAGAACUGGGAUAGCCAGUCAGACCUGGGCACUCCACAGCUACUUAGCAUCUUCGGUGUGCCGGGCACUGCGCUGGGUCCUGGGGCUGUGGCAGUGGACUUGCCCUCAGGAAGGGGACCUCUGGGGGGAGGCAGCCAAAGAACACAGCAAGGAAAUAAAUGAUAGGGUACAUGAGCCAGUGGUCAGUGCUGUGCAAAAAAAGCAGGGAAGGGAGAGAAGUGUUGGGAGGUCUCUCUGGGGAGGAGACACUCGCACAGGGACCCGAAGGAGGUGAGAGAAGGAUCUGAGUGCAGAUCUGCGGGAGGAGCGUCCAGACAUAGGGAGCAGCCAGAGAAGCUGGACUCACACCUGCCCACACAGGGGCCGUGGUGCAGGUGUAGAGGACCAAAGAGCAAGGAAGCUGUGCUGGGACUGAGUGAGGAGAGAGAGGACGUGAGGGCAGAAAGCUAACCCGGAAGGAGGGGGUGGCAUGUGGGCGUGGUGAGGACCUGCGUCUUACCCUGCUCACCACAGAGAAGGGACAAGAUGUGACUUAGGUUUUUAAUGGGAUCCCUGUGGCUAUGAGUGGGGGAAAGACGAAGGGGGGACCAGGGCAGGAACCGGAAGAUGUGACUGCCAUGACCCAGACCACAGGUGGCAGCACUCUGACCAGGGUAUUCCUAGUUUCUCAAAACUGGGACAGCCCAGAUGUCCAUCAACAGGGGAACGGAGGGCACCUGGGUGGCUCAGUUGUUAAGCAUCUGCCUUUGGCUCAGGUCAUGAUCCUAGGGUCCUGGGACUGAGUCCCAUGUCGGGCUCCUUGCUCGGUGGGGAGUCUGCUUCUCCCUCUGCCUCUGAGCACCCCCCCCCCACCACCACUUGUGCUCUCACUCUCUCUCUCAAAUAAAUAAAAUCUUUUUUUUUAAAGAUUUUAUUUAUUUAUUUGAGAGAGCGAGAAUGAGAGAGAGAGAGAGAGAGCGCACAUGAGCGGGGGGAGGGUCAGAGGGAGAAGCAGACUCCCUGCCGAGCAGGGAGCCCGAUGCGGGACUCGAUCCCGGGACUCCAGGAUCAUGACCUGAGCCGAAGGCAGUCGCUUAACCAACUGAGCCACCCAGGCGCCCAAAUAAAUAAAAUCUUAAAAAAAAAAAAAAAAAACAAAACAGGAGACCGGAUAAACUUUUUUUGUAAACAUAAAAAGGAUUACCACACAGUGAGAACAAUAAAGGAGCUGCUGCUGAUGCAACAAUGUGGAGAAAGCUCACAGUAAUUAUACUAAGUAAAAGCAGCCAGACAAAAGCAAAGAGUACCUGUGGAGUGAUUCCAUUAUAUAAAAGAUGGGAAAAUGCAAACUAACCCAUAGUGACAGAAAGCAGACCAGCAGUAGCCUGGGGAUGGGGGGUGGGCAGGGGGCAGGGAGCAAGGAAAGCAAUGGGAGAUUCUGGAGAAAUUCUGGAGGGAGAGCUGAUGGAAUCUGUGACAGAUUGGAUGGGGGUGUGAGAAGAGCUGCAAAUGACCCUAUAGGGGCCAAGGGCAGGUGGCCCUAAAAUACGCCACUUUGGCAUAUUGAUUUUUUUUUAAGAUUUUAUUUAGAGAGAGAGAGCGAGCGAGCGAGCAUGAGCACAAGUGGGGGAGGGGCAGAAGGAGGGGGAGAAGCAGACUUCCUGCUCAGCAGGGAGCCCAGCUCUGGGCUCAAUCCCAGGACCCCGAGAUCACGACCUAAGCCAAAGUCAGAUGCUUAGCUGACUGAGCCACCCAGGCGCCCCUUGAUUUUAUUUUUAUUUUGGGGGGUGCAGAGGGAGAGGAAGGGAGAGAAUCCUAAGCAGGCAACACGGGACUCGAUCCAACGACCCUGAGAUCAUGAUGUGAGCCAAAAUCAGGAGUCAGACAUUUAAUUGACUGAUCCACCCAGGCGCCCCUGGCAUAUUGAUUUUAAAGUUACUUAAGAAUCGGCCUGUGUAAGAGGGACACUCAGCCCCUCCCCUGCCCCCUGAAAGCAGAAAAUAAAUGUCCCAUGUGAAAGGUGCCCUCCCUGUACCAAGAGGUAAAGACACAUCCUUAUUAUCACCAGAUAUAGGGAAUUCAGGACCAAGAAGGCCGUUUAAACAAUGCUUGUUACUUUUUAUUAAUUUACUACCCCACAGCAAAUU